This 253-nucleotide ribosomal RNA is filed under the name uncultured bacterium. Its description in RNAcentral is "partial 16S ribosomal RNA". It matches the Rfam family "Bacterial small subunit ribosomal RNA", at positions 524 to 776 of the family's 1533-position model. The record is from RNAcentral.
GACAGAGGCCUCAAGCGUUAGGCGGAAUCACUGGGCUUAAAGCGUGUGUAGGCGGGCCCGUCAGUACCUUGUGAAAUCCCACGGCUCAACCGUGGAACCGCUGGGUAUACUGCGGGUCUUGGGCCGACUAGGGGCAGCCGGAACAAGCGGUGGAGCGGUGAAAUGCGUAGAUAUCGCUUGGAACGCCGAAGGUGAAAACAGGCUGCUGGGGUCGCGCCGACGCUGAGACACGAAAGCCAGGGGAGCAAACGGG